GAACUGCGAUAAGUAAUGUGAAUUGCAGAAUUCAGUGAAUCAUCGAGUCUUUGAACGCACAUUGCGCCCCCUGGCAUUCCGGGGGGCAUGCCUGUCCGAGCGUCAUUGCUGCCCUUCAAGCCCGGCUUGUGUGUUGGGUCGUCGUCCCCUCCGGGGGACGGGCCCGAAAGGCAGCGGCGGCACCGCGUCCGGUCCUCGAGCGUAUGGGGCUUUGUCACCCGCUCGAUAAGGACCGGCCGGGCGCCAGCCGGCGUCUCCAACCUUUUUUUCUCAGGCUGACCUCGGAUCAGGUAGGGAUACCCGCUGAACUUAAGC
This 315-nucleotide unclassified non-coding RNA is filed under the name plant metagenome. RNAcentral describes it as "partial contains 5.8S ribosomal RNA, internal transcribed spacer 2, and large subunit ribosomal RNA". The stretch from base 1 to 105 matches the Rfam family "5.8S ribosomal RNA", at positions 50 to 154 of the family's 154-position model. The record is from RNAcentral.